Molecule: ribosomal RNA, 416 nt
Filed under: uncultured Lactobacillus sp.
Lineage: Bacteria; Bacillati; Bacillota; Bacilli; Lactobacillales; Lactobacillaceae
Description: bacterial SSU rRNA
Rfam family: Bacterial small subunit ribosomal RNA
Source: RNAcentral
UCUGGGGAUACCACUUGGGAAACAGGUGCUAAAUACCGGAUAAGAAAGCAGAUCGCAUGAUCAGCUUUUAAAAGGCGGCGUAAAGCUGUCGCUAUGGGGAUGGCCCCGCGGUGCAUUAGCUAGUUGGCAAGGUAAAGGCUUACCAAGGGCGAUGAUGCAUAGCCCGAGUUGAGAGACUGAUCGGCCACAUUGGGGACUGAGACACGGCCCAAACUCCUACGGGAGGCAGCAGUAGGGAAUCUUCCACAAUGGACGCAAGUCUGAUGGAGCAAAUGCCGCGUGAGUGAAGAAGGUUUUCGGAUCGUAAAAAGCUCUGUUGUUGGUGAAGAAGGAUAGAGGUAGUAACUGGCCCUUUAUUUGACGGUAAUCAACCCAGAAAGUCACGGGCUAACUACGUGCUAGCAGCCGCGGUAAAU